Molecule: non-coding RNA, 206 nt
Organism: Oryza meridionalis
Lineage: Eukaryota; Viridiplantae; Streptophyta; Magnoliopsida; Poales; Poaceae
Source: Rfam
UUUAAGUGCAAUCAUAAAUUUUCGUGUUCAACUUUAAUCAUUUGUCUUAUUUAAAAAAAAUUUAUAAUUAGUUUUUUUUAUUGUUAUGAGAUGAUAAAAUAUUAAUAGUAUUCUAUAUGUGACUUAUGUUUUUCAAAUUUUUUUAAAAAAAUUUAAAUAAGAUGGAUGGUAAAAGUUGUGCACGGAAAAUUAUGGUUGCGCUUAAG